This 497-nucleotide ribosomal RNA is filed under the name uncultured bacterium. RNAcentral describes it as "partial 16S ribosomal RNA". It matches the Rfam family "Bacterial small subunit ribosomal RNA", at positions 28 to 507 of the family's 1533-position model. The record is from RNAcentral.
GAUGAACGCUGGCGGCGUGCCUAAUACAUGCAAGUCGAGCGAACAGACGAGGAGCUUGCUCCUCUGACGUUAGCGGCGGACGGGUGAGUAACACGUGGAUAACCUACCUAUAAGACUGGGAUAACUUCGGGAAACCGGAGCUAAUACCGGAUAAUAUAUUGAACCGCAUGGUUCAAUAGUGAAAGACGGUUUUGCUGUCACUUAUAGAUGGAUCCGCGCCGCAUUAGCUAGUUGGUAAGGUAACGGCUUACCAAGGCAACGAUGCGUAGCCAACCUGAGAGGGUGAUCGGCCACACUGGAACUGAGACACGGUCCAGACUCCUACGGGAGGCAGCAGUAGGGAAUCUUCGGCAUGGAGCGAAAGCCUGACGGGGCAACGCCGCGUGAGUGAGGAAGGUCUUCGGAUCGUAAAACUCGGUUAUUAGGGAAGAACAAAGGUGUAAGUAACUAUGCACGUCUUGACGGUACCUAAUCAGAAAGCCACGGCUAACUACGUG